GAAGUCGUAACAAGGUAGCCGUAGGGGAACCUGCGG
This 36-nucleotide ribosomal RNA is filed under the name Oryza sativa Indica Group (long-grained rice). Its description in RNAcentral is "18S ribosomal RNA". The record is from RNAcentral. Lineage: Eukaryota; Viridiplantae; Streptophyta; Magnoliopsida; Poales; Poaceae.